Molecule: unclassified non-coding RNA, 215 nt
Filed under: Hevea brasiliensis (rubber tree)
Lineage: Eukaryota; Viridiplantae; Streptophyta; Magnoliopsida; Malpighiales; Euphorbiaceae
Source: RNAcentral
GGGCAUCAUGUGCAGAAAAAAAAGAAAAUAUCUGUGCGUGGUUCACUUGCGUCAUUACUUCCCUUCUAUGGUACGCACAGCUCAAAACCAACCCACCACCCCACCAAUCUCAUACGUAUAAUCUCCAUUUCCAUUUUAAGAAACCAAUUAAUUGGGCGAUUACCUUUCCAACUCCUUCCUUGAAACACCUUCCAUUUCUUCUUCUCUUUUUUUUU